GAAGCAGCCAUCAUUUAAAGAAAGCGUAAUAGCUCACUGGUCGAGUCGGCCUGCGCGGAAGAUGUAACGGGGCUAAACCAUGCACCGAAGCUGCGGCAGCGACGCUUAUGCGUUGUUGGGUAGGGGAGCGUUCUGUAAGCCGUUGAAGGUGUGCUGUGAGGCAUGCUGGAGGUAUCAGAAGUGCGAAUGCUGACAUAAGUAACGAUAAAGCGGGUGAAAAGCCCGCUCGCCGGAAGACCAAGGGUUCCUGUCCAACGUUAAUCGGG
RNAcentral lists this ribosomal RNA (266 nucleotides) under Enterobacter hormaechei. RNAcentral's name for it is "partial 23S ribosomal RNA". It matches the Rfam family "Bacterial large subunit ribosomal RNA", at positions 1109 to 1373 of the family's 2925-position model. Lineage: Bacteria; Pseudomonadati; Pseudomonadota; Gammaproteobacteria; Enterobacterales; Enterobacteriaceae. The record is from RNAcentral.